AACGCGAAGAACCUUACCUACUCUUGACAUCCAGAGAACUUUCCAGAGAUGGAUUGGUGCCUUCGGGAACUCUGAGACAGGUGCUGCAUGGCUGUCGUCAGCUCGUGUUGUGAAAUGUUGGGUUAAGUCCCGCAACGAGCGCAACCCUUAUCCUUUGUUGCCAGCGGUUCGGCCGGGAACUCAAAGGAGACUGCCAGUGAUAAACUGGAGGAAGGUAGGGAUGACGUCAAGUCAUCAUGGCCCUUACGAGUAGGGCUACACACGUGCUACAAUGGCGUAUACAAAGAGAAGCGACCUCGCGAGAGCAAGCGGACCUCAUAAAGUACGUCGUAGUCCGGAUUGGAGUCUGCAACUCGACUCCAUGAAGUCGGAAUCGCUAGUAAUCGUAGAUCAGAAUGCUACGGUGAAUACGUUCCCGGGCCUUGUACACACCG
RNAcentral lists this ribosomal RNA (434 nucleotides) under uncultured Serratia sp. Its description in RNAcentral is "bacterial SSU rRNA". It matches the Rfam family "Bacterial small subunit ribosomal RNA", at positions 958 to 1392 of the family's 1533-position model. Lineage: Bacteria; Pseudomonadati; Pseudomonadota; Gammaproteobacteria; Enterobacterales; Yersiniaceae. The record is from RNAcentral.